GUUUUACAAGAGAUGACCUUGUGACACAGCUUAAUGCUUUGAAGGUCCCCCACAAGCUUUCAAUGUAUUUGGAUGAAUUUGUUCGUAUCAAAACUGGGUUGCAGAUCAUCAUUCAUGUUGGCCUACUCAGAAAGGGUUUAUGCUCAGUUCAGGAUGAGAUCAGUGCAGGUCAACUUGUCAUAUUUUCUUGUAGAAGGAAUGACUAUAAGUCUACAAUAUCUGAAGUUUCUUUUCCCUUCGUUCUCCUAGUGUUUCAUAGAAUAUAGGAUAUGUGAGUCACCAACUAGUAUCAUUUAGGUAAUUAGCCUAGAAAUCUUUAGAAGGAGCCAUAUGGCCAAGGGACAUACAAUUUAUGUAUUCUAUGUUUUGCGGUUUGCCAAAUAUGUUAAUUAAAACAAAGAAAACUUCAAGCUCUGCCCGUAUUUCCCUUUUUAUAAUUAAAUGAAAUUCUUA
Molecule: long non-coding RNA, 453 nt
Organism: Lotus japonicus
Lineage: Eukaryota; Viridiplantae; Streptophyta; Magnoliopsida; Fabales; Fabaceae
Exons: 3
Source: RefSeq, a predicted model, not a curated record